Long non-coding RNA from Diorhabda carinulata, 5188 nucleotides. RefSeq lists it as uncharacterized. The record is from RefSeq and is a predicted model, not a curated record. Lineage: Eukaryota; Metazoa; Arthropoda; Insecta; Coleoptera; Chrysomelidae. The transcript is spliced from 3 exons.
ACAGUUGGUGGAACUUGUUCGGAAUGGCGAAUUGACUUCAAGUUUGUUAGAGUAACAGUUGUAAUUUUUUAAAUAUUACAAUUUAUUCAAUCAUUCCAUCUCAGUGAAGAAUUAAAAAGGAGUAGAAAACAUAGCGAAAAGUUAGCAGGUAACGAAAGGUUAUGUUUCGAGAUUUCUUCAAGUUAUAAUUCCUUCACAGUCAUUUCCUCAUUUUGAAUAAGAGUGAGUGGAUCAAGAGUUAUGAGGUUAUAUUACUUUACCUGUCUAUUUUUAACCAAUUCCCCAGGAGCGACAAUGCCAUCAUUAUCCAAAGCAGUGUGUUUCCACAUGGGCUGUCCGGUCACAGAAUCCAACAUGGGUCCUUGAAUUCUAUCGAAAGUUUGAUUGGGAUACCUCUUCAAUAUACACUUUGCAUUUUUAUAAACCAAACAUCGACCGAAACCUCUAUCAAUAGAGGCUUUAUUUAAUAUUAAAGCGUCUUCUAUAUCAUAACCGCUGUAACUCAUUACAGCUAUAGUAGCGUUUUGACCUGCUGGUAGUUUAUCGAAGUUUGUUAGUUCUAUAGUUUUAGUUGUAACCAUCGGUGCUUGCGGAUAAACGAGAUUAUACAGAAGAGUAUCCAUACGGUUUUUUUGAUUGUAACCAAUCGUACCUAAAAUAUUCGAUAAAAUAAUUGAAAAGGAAGGUCUACUGCCUACGAUAUUGUUCCGAACUCAUCCAGGACAUGAACCGUGAAGCCAGUUAUAUUAAAAUUUUUUUUAUAACUUAUUUACAGUGAGUGGUGUAUGGUUACAUUGAAAGAUAAGAAUCCGGAGAUUUAUGUAAAUAAAGACUUACCCCCAUCGGGAAUACAGGGUACAAAAUUAACUACAUUUUCUGGAUCACUGGAUUAUAAUCACAAUUAAUACCAUUUCUAUCCACAUUACUUCUAUUAUCUGAGAAUAGUAGUAAACAAUUUACGCUUUCCAAUAAUCAAUUUUGAAAUGUUUAACAAUAUUAUGAACCUUAUUUUGGUUUCUAUUAACCUUGUCCUCACGUCGGUUCAACUAAGUUCAUAUUGGCUUUUUAUGACCAUUUAUCACCAUUUAUGAUGAAUCGUUUUACAUUUUUACUGUUUUUCACUCAAUUUAUUAAAAAAAUUAUAAAUUAUGGUGCUUAUUUUUUUUGUGCAUUGGUUUUGGGAAAAAAUUUUAGAAUAAAAAUUUAUUUUAUUUCAAUUUCAUAUGAGCACAUCACCUUCUGAAUUUUAUCUGUAGUAAUAACUCUGCAUCUCAUUGUUCUGCCUGCAAAAUACCCAAACUCCUUCCAAAGGAUGCUAUUUUUCUGGGAGGCUUUUGCCGAAAUGAGCCGGACGUUCACAGAAUGGAUGAUAUGUUGCUCUACGGCUUGUUCACAUACAAUUGUCGUCUGCCAAGUGGUAUUUGACAGAGGAACUACCUAUCAAAAAACCAACCUCAAGUGUGUUAGAAAUAUUCCCUGUCAUCUGAAGAAGUUCCUCGGACUUCUAACUAUGAAUCUUUUAAUCUUUAGCCACCUAUUCAGUUUAUUGUUGACAUGGCAUCUUAUGAGACGACAGUAGGACUUUAAUCCAAAAUAUGGAGUCUUUACCCCGUUUUAAUAAGACUUACUGCUUCUUCAUUGCCUGGUGUACCUUGGUUACCUGCUUACAGUUACUUUGUUUCUGUUAGCCACUGCCUUUAGAGUUUGUAUACACUCCCAAGUUAGCUCAAACGUGCACUUAAUAGCCUUAAAGGCUUUCAAGGUCGCAUGGCUAUGGGAGAAAAUUCCAACUUAAUCGCGAUCUUAUCUAAACCAAAACGUUUUAAUGGAAAUCGGUUACUUACCCAUGGCUUGUUUACCCAUAGCACAUUGGUAGGUGUUUCUUGGAGAUUGAUUAUGAUGUGGAUACGGAACUAAACCGGCGCAAACUCCAAGUAAAGUAAAAGCUGCUAUUUCUAAAUGCGUGGUUUGCAUUGUAAUAUCUUUUUCAUAACAAGCUACAUAGCUGUCAUUUUCUUCGUUAACGUCCAAAAACUCGAUGAGUCCUAUAUAAAUAUAUAUGAAAAAAAAAUGAUGACUACUGAUUGCAGUUAAUUUACCAUUUUGCAAAAAAUCUUCGAAACCUCUUAUGCCUUUUUCCAAUUCAAUGAUGUGUUUAUCAUUAACUAGAGGACGACCUUCGUUUACUAUUAUGUAAGGUCUACAUAAUCUUCCGCUAUCUGAACUAAUAUAAACACAUUUAUGUAAAUGACUAGGGUAAAUGGAAACAUAACCAGAUAUAUAACCAUACCGACGACUCUUUCUAAAGACUUUGAUUAAUCUUUUAUAAUUUGUCGUAAUUCCCAAUAUAUUACCUGAAAAAUCACACUAUUUUAAUAUUUAAAACAUUAUUUUUAUUAGCAAUAAAAAACUUUAGUUUAAAAAUAUAUUUUCAAUCAUUUAAUCAAUAAAUUCAAAGAUCUUGGCACGCCUUAAUAAGUGCUUCAGUAGGUCUUGAGGUUUGCUGUUUCAACCUCUUAAUAAUUUUUGUUUACUGUUCUACUGGGCUGUUCUCUUUUAUAAGUUCUUCUUGUACCUCGUCUUUUUCUUCUACAAUGAUGGAAUAUCUAUAUUGAAAAUUACGUAUCCUUAAACUUUCAUAAAAAAAUUUCUAUAACUACCUAAAAUCACCUAUUACAAAUCUUUCAAAUUCGAAUAUAAUAGCUUAAUGUUAUUGAUCCCACCUAUGUUUAUGAUAUUAAAAUUUAAGCUCACCAUUGAGAAAAACCAUGUACGAUGAAGGGGCGUGAAUUCCAGAGCUAGCUACCAUGUUAAUACAUCUUACUCCUGCACUUUUUGCCAAUUUAAUAAGGGGAUGUUCAUUGAUUUCAGUAGUUAUGUGUGUCAUAAGGGCCAGAUUCUUGACAAGACCACAAGCCUAGUAAAAUUUAAUAGAUAAGUACAAAUCUAAACCAUCUAGCAUAAAAAAAAUUUACUUCUCCUUCAGGAGUGUCACUAGGACAUAACAUUCCCCACUGACUUGGUUGGAGAGAUCUCGGUCCUGAUACUUUCCUAGUUUUUUCAAAUUGAGAAUUGACCCUAGUCAUCAUUCCUAACGCUGAAAUAUAACUAAGCCUUGAUAAAACUUGUGUAACGCCCAAUCUUUCCAUUCUAAAUCGUUUUAUAGUCCAAUUACCCUAGAAACAAAAUAAAUUAUCUCUCUAUAAACUUCUAUAGUAAAAUAAGCUUUUUAGAGAGGUUUCUAUCCAAACACAUUUGUUUAUUGCCGGCAACUAUAUCAGAACAAUAGUGAAAGUUUGCAUUUUGGUUCAAAAGUGCCCAAUUCAGUUCCUUGCACUGGCAUCGAACCAUUUGUAUUCUAGAGAUAUAUUUCGAACUUGUGGAAGUUUUUUUUGAACCAUGCAUUACCACUUUGAAUGGGACGCCUAUGUUCACCAUACUGUGCAUUUGGUCUAUUGGUUUGUCACUGCUUUCAAGCUUUAUUACUUAUAGAAUCAAUCCUAAGUCAAAUUGCCGAGCUUCAAUUUUACUAUCUGGAUUAGCCUGUGGACGUCGCUAAAUGACUUUUUUUAGCAUAAGAUGAAGAGGAGGUAGAUUUAGUAACACCUCUAAGGCUGUGGUGAGACAGAUUGACAUUGCUCCUGUAAUACCCAGAUAUAUUAGCCAUCUUGUUCAGUUUUUACUGUCCUUUUGUUUUGACCAGCAAACAAGUGCUAUGUAUGUGAUAAUGGGUUUGAUGGUUUGGUAUACCUAGUAUACCAUCUUAGGCAUUAGUCCCCAUGUCUUGCUAUGUAUUUUGUUAUUAGACAGCUUAUUUGUUUCACUUUUAUUUUAUCAAUGUUUCUAGUAUUUUCCUUCGACUUCAAUAUUUCAUGGUUUGUUAUUUUAUUUUAUUAUUAGGUUUAGUUUUUAAUCGUAUUGAUGCCCUUUUAAUCUACUUUCUAAAUACUGAGAUGUCUGUCCUACGUUAGCAGCAUUACUUCUUUUGUUUUUGGGUGUUUUACAUUUUAGAUUUUUGGAGUAUUUGGAUAAUAGUGCAAUUUGAUCACUAAUAUAAAUGCUGUACUUACUGUUGAGAUAGCAAAUACCAAACAGCUUGUUAUCAAAUCAGAUCUCAUAUAUUUUACAACAUCAAACUGAGUGGCUCUAAUUUUUGGAAUAGUUUUUUCUGCAAUUGCUUUCAAUUCCCAGUUGAAUCUUUUGAAAACAUCUUCAAACAUUAGAGAAAUAAGAGAACCAGCUAAUUCUAACCUCUUAUUUCCAUAGUAGUCCCUAUCGUCUAAAAGUAGAUUAUCACUUUGAGCAUCAAUUACCUUUUUGACCUAGAAAUAUGUACACAAUUGAAAAAAAAGUACAAAAAUAAUAGUUAUUUACAUAAAUACAUAUUUUCGGUAAACUAUAAACUUCUUACCAUAAUUCCUAAAUAAAUGGCUUUUAAUCUAAAGUUAUAUUCCUUAACAGGCACAUGAGCAAGAACUGUAGUUGCUAAUAAAUCUCGGGCUUCAUCUGCUGGUGUCUUCAACUUAGAAGCUGCAGUAACAUAUCGUUUAACAACUAAUUUUGUUCCUAAAUAAGCUAAUGCAGAAUCUUGAGAAUAAAUUUUUAAAUUGUGGCAUUCUUCUAAAGUUGGAAUCAACUUAUGAACAUCUUUUAUUCCUAUUAAAUUACAUAUCUCCUCAUCAUUUAUUAUAUUUAGAGCUUUAAAUACCACAGAAAUCAGAAUAGGCUAGAAAAAAAAUUAUUAUCAUAUAUUUGGUAUGCCAUUGAUAACUUUUUAGUAGUUUUUCACAAAUUUAUGAAGAUGAUUCAUCACAAUAAAACAUUUAUCUUUAAUAAUAUUCAAAUCAUCUAUACUCUUACAUCAGAAAAAGUAUUAUGACCCAUAAAAUAUUUAUUUCCUUUGACGAAAACAUUAGUUCUUGACUUUUUUUCGUGAGUAGAACUAGUAACUUGACAUUGUACACCAUAUUUUCCUUCUUCAACAAGCAUUCUAUUUUUAGUUAACUGUUCUUGAAUGAGAAUAACUUUUUCUUGACCUUUAACUACAAAAUAACCACCGGGAUCCAGUGGACAUUCAUUCAUUUUAGCUAAUUCAUAUUCGGAUUUACCACUAAGAACACAAUUUGAGGAUUUCAACAUUAUAGGCAUUCUAAAACAAUUUAUAAUAGUAUUACAUACCAAUUUGUAA